CGAACCCACUCUCCACCGCUCACAGCCCCACUCCCCUAUCCCAUUUUUCCCACUCCUCUCCCCACAUCCCAAUCCUCGCGGUGAGGUCCUAGCCGGCGACCCGACGACGAGCGCGAGAGGACGGCGAGGAGAGGUCGGGGACGGACUCGUCCGACCGCUCCUCUAGCGACGGAGCGGAGGACGGGGGGCAACAGAGGUGGCGGGUGGAGCCUGUCGAGGGCCCGACGAGGUGAGGUCCUGGCCGGUGACGGACUCGCCCAACCACUCCCCCGAAUACGGAACGGGAGGUCGUCGGCGUCCACAUCGUCGUCGUCCGUGACGCUUGGGGAUGGGCUCGCCUCCGCUGCGCCGCCCUCCGCACAAGGAGGUCCACAGCGACGCGACCUUGACGGCGCGCCAUCCCCGGCGACGCGCUCUACGCCCGUUCCUCUUGGCAAGACCGGCGGCCGCAGCGGCCCACGAAGCUCCUCCCUUGCGACUCCAUUCCUGUACAUGGUCGACAGCCGUCAGGCAGAAACACCGGGGGCUGGGA
This 532-nucleotide ribosomal RNA is filed under the name Triticum aestivum (bread wheat). RNAcentral's name for it is "partial small subunit ribosomal RNA". The record is from RNAcentral. Lineage: Eukaryota; Viridiplantae; Streptophyta; Magnoliopsida; Poales; Poaceae.